This 465-nucleotide ribosomal RNA is filed under the name uncultured bacterium. RNAcentral describes it as "partial 16S ribosomal RNA". It matches the Rfam family "Bacterial small subunit ribosomal RNA", at positions 28 to 507 of the family's 1533-position model. The record is from RNAcentral.
GACGAACGCUGGCGGCGUGCUUAACACAUGCAAGUCGUACGGUAAGGCCCUUUCGGGGGUACACGAGUGGCGAACGGGUGAGUAACACGUGAGUAACCUGCCCACAACUUUGGGAUAACGCUAGGAAACUGGUGCUAAUACUGGAGAUGUGCUCCUGCUGCAGGGUGGGGGUUGGAAAGCUCCGGCGGUUGUGGAUGGACUCGCGGCCUAUCAGCUUGUUGGUGGGGUAGUGGCCUACCCAGGCGGCGACGGGUAGCCGGCCUGAGAGGGUGACCGGCCACAUUGGGCCUGAGAUACGGCCCAGACUCCUACGGGAGGCAGCAGUGGGGAAUAUUGCACAAUGGGCGCAAGCCUGAUGCAGCAACGCCGCGUGCGGGAUGACGGCCUUCGGGUUGUAAACCGCUUUCAGCAGGGACGAAGCUUUUUGUGACGGUACCUGCAGAAGAAGCACCGGCUAACUACGUG